CCUCGCUGUCGCGGUCUGACGGCCAGUAGACAUAGUCGUCGGGGCAGGUGUGCCGUGGCGGACUCUGCCAGGGCAAAGGCACGCAGGUCCAGGCACAGUCGUUGAUUGUGACGCCUGCAAAUGUCGGAUCGGCACACGCAGAGGAAAAGACAAAGCGGGUAAUGUCGUGCAUGAUUCCCCGACUGGUCCAUUGCGCACCACACUCGUCGCCGUUGGCCAGAAUGGCGGUCCUGGUUAGGACUCUCUGCCCUGACGCUGCGCAUGGGCGAGGGGUUGCGCGAUCAUACACGUAGACUCGGUGUUUGCUACGCACGACGCCGCCGUCGGACCGCAUUCGAUCCUGAUCGUCCCAUACGACCUCGUGCUUUAGGUGGGUACCACUGGACCAUGAAACGUUGCCGAUGGCCGUCGAGCGCGGGCCGCCAUGGUACCACACGCCCUGGAAUGACGUGCCGUCGGGCAGGGUGCAACGACCGCGGUGCCUCUGGCCCAACCGCCACUCGCCCGAGUACACUUUGCCGUCGGGGUAAAAGGCCUUGCCCUCGCCGUGGGGGAGCCUGGUGGUGUCGGGUUGGAGCGGCGUCCAGGCCGGCGGAGCGCGCUUGCCAACGGCAGUGGUGAUCCACCACCAUUCGCGCAGGGCAGUAUCUCUGGACGAGGUAAAGUCGAGGCCGCGAGUCGAUUCGGGCAAAAGAGCGUAUUGACCAUAGUAAGACGGCGCAUCGGGAUCGUGCAACGGUCUGGGCCACGAGCCCAUGGCGACGCAGACCCCGCGUGUCCAGGUGCGCGCGGUACCGUUGAGUUUGCCGUGGCCGUGCGGCAGGCCUUUCUCCCACUGACCCUCGUACACGAGGCCGCUGGCAAAGGUCGCACGGCCUUGACCGUGUGGGUAGCCGCUGUGCCAACCGCCUCUGUAGACGGCCAACCGCGCGCGCACCAAUUCCCGAGGCUUGGGCGUCUCGCCGCGGCACUGUACGCAUGCGCAGAAAUCAUCGCUGCGAGACAGGGAAAUCACCGGCUUGUCUGGCGUCACGCGCCGCAUCGACACCCACCCGGCAAUCUCCUCGUCGUCGGUGCACUGGGCGUGCUCUAUGACGACGAGGUUGUGACCGGCAUGCCAGCAGGAGCGCUUGACGGUGACGGCGUAGCCGUUGAGUUGCUUGGUCGCUGGACACGUCCAGCGCCACCAGGAUUCAGAGCCACCGCGCAAGAAAUGCCAAACGGCGCUAAAUCGACGGCUGAAAGCCUUGUCUGCCCUUGCGGCAGCAUAAAAGCGCGGCCAGGCGACGCCGAAUCGCUCGCGCUCGGCAUGCAGGUUCAUGCGAUCGGUCCCGAGGUCGCGGUCGCACCGGGACCUCCACGCGCGCUCGUCGUCAAGUAUGGUCGACGCCAGUUGGCGGCACGUAAGGCCCAGACGCGUGGCAUACUGCGCGCCUCUCUUGCAAAGAAGCAGCAUGUCGACGAUGGCCCAACAUAGUUCGGCCGGAAGUGCCAAUAAAAGGCACGGCUGGUCGAGGACUUGCGGGGGCACACCAGAGGUCUCCAUGUCUAUGCGUGGUUGUUGGGGUGGGCUUUCAGCGCGUGCAGGAUGCGCGAUUUUGAUCCCCCUUGAGCGGCCCGACUCGCCAGCCGAUCUGCAGCGUCCAAUAAUAUGAUGUUUUUUGUUCUCUCGCAAAUGACGAAAAGAGGGGAGCAAUGACCAUUGG
This 1706-nucleotide long non-coding RNA is filed under the name Pandoravirus celtis. Its description in RNAcentral is "hypothetical ncRNA". The record is from RNAcentral.